RNAcentral lists this long non-coding RNA (274 nucleotides) under Cicer arietinum (chickpea). RNAcentral's name for it is "long non-coding RNA (CARI_LNC000591)". Lineage: Eukaryota; Viridiplantae; Streptophyta; Magnoliopsida; Fabales; Fabaceae. The record is from RNAcentral.
AAGAUUUUAAAGUUGGAAAAACAGUAUCUAGCUGCGAGGGAUGCUAAAACUGCAUUGAAAGUUAGUUUAGGCAUCUUUUCAAAACAAAAUUCCGAUUUACAAGAAAUUGAAUCCAAGGUAUUUUUUUUUUGUCAAUUUUUUUUUUAUUGUUUUUAUAGUAUACAUAAUCUUACAAAAUCUAUUUGUAUAAAGAUAAUAGAUGCUGAGCUAGAGGAGAUUGAACUUGCUCUAGCUGAUGUUGCUGGGAUGAAGGAAAAGCUUGCGGAAAUUAACC